This is a long non-coding RNA of Haliotis rufescens (red abalone), 460 nucleotides long. RefSeq lists it as uncharacterized. The record is from RefSeq and is a predicted model, not a curated record. Lineage: Eukaryota; Metazoa; Mollusca; Gastropoda; Lepetellida; Haliotidae. The transcript is spliced from 3 exons.
UGUAAUAUUGAAUUCGCCCAAGUGUUUACCUUGCUGUCGCCUUCUGUCGUAAAUCAUGACAAUCAACACAUUCCAGACUUCCUGUGUUCAUUCACAUUCCUAAAAUUUCCUUCACAACACCACUGCCAUCGAAAUGUUAUAUUAGGAACAUUUUCUGUUUACAUUUUAUCCUAAUUAGACCCAAUUUCCAUCACAGCGGUGCAGACAGUUCAGUCGCUGACCGAGUGGGCUUGGUCCGCUGUGGGGGUGUCAAGGGAGAAAGUGCAGGACUUGCUGACACGCCCUGACUUAACGGAUGACUGGUCACUGGAGGAGAUCAGCCAACCUGUCUUCCGCUCCUUGGGAUUCUGGAUGCUGGUUUGCCAGUGACCCAAUCCUGACCCAAUGUCUUUCGUUGUUGGAGCCCUCCCUGCAUUCAUACCGGUAACUCAAGGGAUGAGUCUACUGUGUGUUCAGUUUA